ACCCCUAAAGGCAUAAUUGAAAUUGCGAACAAUUUUUUUCACAUAAUCCCAUUUUUAACCUUUAUAUCUUAUGCUUCAGCUUCUUCUUUAUUUCUGAAUCGAGAAAAACCAAUGGAACUCUCCGCUAUCUCCAUCACUGCCGCCACCAUCUCCAUCUCUAUCUCCGUCGCCACCAUAACCAACACCACAAUCGUCUCAGUGAGUUAUCACGUAUUUACUUUUUAAUUUCACAUCUAAAUAAAAAUCACUCUUCUCUAUCUCUCCGGCAAUCACCACCACCACCACCACCACCAUCUCUUACGCCAACUGAUUCAGAUUCAAAAACAGAUUUAAAAAGAUUAAGAUCUGAUUUUAGGUUUAGAUUUCUGAUAAGUUUAGAAUCGAACUUGUUCGAAUUAUCGAAGCUCAAUUUGUAAUGUAGUCUCAAUUGUUGAUGAUGAUGGUGAUAGAGAUGAUGGUCGUGGUGGCGGUGGAGGAGGAAGUCAAACCUAUGUUAUUUAUAGAUGGUGGUGGUGGUGGUGGAGGAAGAUAUCAAAUCUAUGUUUUCCACUCAAAAUCUCAACGAAGAAGAAGAAGAAUUUCCACAUAAGGAAUCUUAAUUAUACCGAUAUCAAUUUCGGAAAGGUCUCUCCUCCGUAACUCAGUUAACAUAAUACGAGAAUUCCUUGUUGCAAGGAUUCCCACGACCAACGACGCGAUUGGAAUCCUAACGCCGCACCCAGUAGGUACUUACCAUUAUAAUUCAUACUUCAUAUUGAUUAUUCCCAAUAUCGAUCUUAUUUCUUCUAUAAGCUAUCUUCUGUUAGUAAGCAAGUUUUUCUGUUCUACCAUGCUUGGGGAUUGGGAAACAGAUAGAAAAUGCUAACUGGAGAGACUAAUUUUCCAUUCUUCUCGCGAGGUUCUUUUAGCUCAGUUUAUAGGGAAUAAACAUUAGAUCCAAUUGUUCAUCCACUUAUGUUUUACUUUUCAGUAGUAAUUUGAAUAAUGGUAGACAUAUCUUACUUUUAAGCCUUUUAAAAAGUUUUUUCAUGCCUUCAGAUAUAAUAAUAUGUCUCUUAUGAGUAUAUUUGUAUAUAAUCAUGGAUUUAGUAUUUUUUAUGUCGCUCUAUCCGUUGUGCUACAUUGUGUAAACUAAAGUAGCUCAUUUUGUUGAAUAUUUCUCCUAUUUCUGUAGAAGUGGCCAUUUCAUUUGUUGUGGCUUCUUUGCUGCUUACACAUGAUGCAUUGAUCAAUUCGGUAAUUUCAUUCUUCAAUAGUAUGAAAAUGAACUGCAAAAACAUUAAAACAACUAUAUUAGAUGAACCUAUGAGUGAUGUUACCAAGCAAGUGUUGUGGGUUUAUAUGUGUUGGUGGUGUUGGAACCGGUGGUUAGUUGGUUGACCGAUCACAACUGCUCUGUCGGGAAGGGACAGUAAUUGUGACCGUGGACAACCUCAUCAAGUUGCUUCCAACUUUGGGAAAAACUUGACCAAGUUGCUUCGAGACAACUUGUGCCGGUUACUUCCUUUUUUUGGAGACAACUUGUGCUAGUUGCUUCCUUUUUCUGGAGACAACUUGUAUCUCUUGUUCUCGUAGUGAGUUUCGGUUUUGUUCUUGGUUUUUUUGAGUUUGUUUUGUCAAGUAAAAAUGGUUGUUGCAGAGAUUAUUUUUUGCAUCUUAAGAAUAUCUCAUGCCAUUUCUGAUUCAACUACCGUUAGGGAGAUGCAAAGUGUUGAUUAGUGGUAGUUCUGGAAUUGGUGGUUAGCUGGUUAUGUAGGCAUGUUGAUAUAAUAUUUCUUACUUCUUAGAAAUUACUCAUUUAACUUUUUACCAAUUUGGGGGCUUAUUCUUGUUAUCUCUAGUGUGAUACUUUCUUGUUCAGGACUUUGAUUUCAGUGAACUGAAUGAAUAUUGUAAACACUAUUCCCAAGAGCAUCAUGGAGUUGAUCAGGAUGGCUAACCAUUUUAUAUUUGGAUUAUCUUCCAUAUACUUUCAGUAAGUUUUGGCAUAUGGCUACCUUCACAUAUAAAGCCAUUUGAAAUGCUGAUAUUUAGUGGGAUUUAUUUUCAAUGUUUGCAUUAGAAAGAAAAUUUGGUCAAAUGUCUGAAAUUCUAGUCAUUUUUAUGCGAUUAUGUGGCAGUAUCAAUAAGAUGAUAAGUACUGAUGAAUUGUGCAGAAGACUUGCACAAGCUGUCUGAAGACUAUGGAGCAUGUUUAAGCUUUUUUUGGAAACACUAUUUUGCUUCGAGUCUAACCAACUUUCUUUGAUGCUUCGAGUCUAUACAUGAAGAUAAAUGUAAAUAUUAUCAUUCGUCUCCUUUCGCACCCCCGUGGUUCCAAAUAAUUGUUGGUUCAAUGUAUUUCGAGUCUAAGACUUUGUAUUUGUAAAUAUCAUUUUAAGUGAUAAAUGUUAUUUCUCUCUCUUAA
Molecule: long non-coding RNA, 2407 nt
Organism: Papaver somniferum (opium poppy)
Lineage: Eukaryota; Viridiplantae; Streptophyta; Magnoliopsida; Ranunculales; Papaveraceae
Exons: 3
Source: RefSeq, a predicted model, not a curated record